This 490-nucleotide ribosomal RNA is filed under the name uncultured bacterium. Its description in RNAcentral is "partial 16S ribosomal RNA". It matches the Rfam family "Bacterial small subunit ribosomal RNA", at positions 30 to 507 of the family's 1533-position model. The record is from RNAcentral.
AUUGAACGCUGGCGGCAGGCCUAACACAUGCAAGUCGAACGGUAACAGGAAACAGCUUGCUGUUUCGCUGACGAGUGGCGGACGGGUGAGUAAUGUCUGGGAAACUGCCUGAUGGAGGGGGGUAACUACUGGAAACGGUAGCUAAUACCGCAUAACGUCGCAAGACCAAAGAGGGGGACCUUCGGGCCUCUUGCCAUCGGAUGUGCCCAGAUGGGAUUAGCUAGUAGGUGGGGUAACGGCUCACCUAGGCGACGAUCCUUAGCUGGUCUGAGAGGAUGACCAGCCACACUGGAACUGAGACACGGUCCAGACUCCUACGGGAGGCAGCAGUGGGGAAUAUUGCACAAUGGGCGCAAGCCUGAUGCAGCCAUGCCGCGUGUAUGAAGAAGGCCUUCGGGUUGUAAAGUACUUUCAGCGGGGAGGAAGGGAGUAAAGUUAAUACCUUUACUCAUUGACGUUACCCGCAGAAGAAGCACCGGCUAACUCCGUG